Molecule: ribosomal RNA, 421 nt
Filed under: uncultured eukaryote
Lineage: Eukaryota
Description: SSU rRNA
Rfam family: Eukaryotic small subunit ribosomal RNA
Source: RNAcentral
CAAUAGCGUAUAUUAAAGUUGUUGCGGUUAAAAGCUCGUAGUUGGAUUUCUGCCGAGGACGACCGGUCCGCCCUCUGGGUGAGUAUCUGGCUUGGCCUGGGCAUCUUCUUGGAGAACGUAGCUGCACUUGACUGUGUGGUGCGGUAUCCAGGACUUUUACUUUGAGGAAAUUAGAGUGUUUCAAGCAGGCAUACGCCUUGAAUACAUUAGCAUGGAAUAAUGAUAUAGGGCAUAAGUUCUAUUUUGUUGGUUUCUAGAACAUAUGCAAUGAUUAAUAGGGAUAAUUGGGGGCACUCGUAUUAACGCGUCAGAGGUGGAAUUCUUAGAUUGCGUUACGACGAACUACUGCGAAAGCAUUUGCCAAGGAUGUUUUCAUUGAUCAAGAACGAAAGUAUGGGGAUCGAAGAUGAUCAGAUACCGU